Carassius auratus (goldfish) is the source of this 3061-nucleotide long non-coding RNA. Lineage: Eukaryota; Metazoa; Chordata; Actinopteri; Cypriniformes; Cyprinidae. The record is from Ensembl.
GGGGCUAUGACCGAAGGGCUUCUUUUCUUCUGCCUCUAAUCAAAUAGGAACUGAAAUGAAUUAGAGUUUUCUUAUGAAAAUAGCCUUUGUUGUCAGGCAGGCCGGUAAUUCAUAAACAAUAAGCAACGUCAUUGUGUGGCUAGUAAUAUAUUCAUGCUGUGGAAAGGCUAGAAGGCAGUGCAGGACUAUGGCUCUGUGAAUGAGGGGAGGGAAGGAUUGGUCCUGGACUCUUCAUUUGCAGUCUGCACGGUGGGUGGUUCUGGUAACCAUCAGUUUCUCUCCGUCUCUCUCCAUUUCUCUCAUGCUCCUGGCAUGGUCUCCUCAUGCUCCUCAUUUCUUCAACAAUUCUUUCAUUGCCAUCUUUCUUCUUCCUGCAGUUGCUGGCUCGUUUCGACCUUUCUCAAAGGCCUUUCGCUCUUCCCCUGUGUUCUGACCUGUCAGGGUUUUCCCCUCCCCUCUUUUUUAAACUGAGCAAAGCUGUAUAUUCUUGAGAACUUCUGGACGUGGUUGGAUUCUGCUCUCAAACUCUUCUCUCUUGGGAAAAGCAGUGGAUUAUUUGAAGUAGGAGGGUAUUGCGUGAAGAGUUGUGGUCAGAGGGCAACUGGACACCAGCGAGUUGGAUCUUGAACCUCAGGAUUGUCACUGAGCAGAAAAGAAAGUGUCUAUUUGAUUAUUAAGUAUUAGUUUUGUACCUUCGGUGGAGCUGGCUAUCUAUCGUGUCACUUGGACAUUACGUUUUUCAGCGUGAAUUUGCUGUCAUCACUUAAUUUUCUACUUAGUAAUUAGUCGUGGAGAUAAAUGUAUAUGGAUUUUUUUUUGUCAAGGCUGUUUCCAUCUUAUGUUACAUGGAAAAACAAAACAAGAACUCAGGAUCACUAACAUUUAUUAAUUUUUCAGCUGUCAACUGCUCAAAAUUGAGAGCAGCUACUGCAACUGGUGCUAUGAAGACUAAGAUUGUCAUUCCUGGAUUUUUCUUAUUUUCUAUAUAAGAACUUCUGAUGAUGCUGCUUGAUGACACUCAAAUAAAUCACCAGCUAUCAACAAUGGGUGUUGGCAUGGGAACAUGCCCCUGUCUGCUACCUGAAUGGGGACGCAGGGCCUCGCAGUCAAAGGAGCGACCCAGCAGGCUGCACAUUUUUACCUACAGCUGUAUCCAUGACAACACAGUCCCAUGCCCACUACCGGCCUCUACUAUUGAAUAUUUGAUUGACAGAUGUCCAAAUGUCAACCACUCCCUCUCAGAGGUUAUUCCCAUUUCCUGUACUUCAAACUCUGUCUCAGCUGGGGUCAAAGGUUAAAGGGACAGCGCUGUGUUUCACGCCCCUCUCAUCCUCCAUUUGACAGUAAGUACUCUCAGCUCGCUCUUCCGCACCACCACACCUCUCUCUCACACACACUUCAACUGACACGAGCGCUCGGCCACUCAAAUGCACACACAAACAAACACACAUAGUUUUACCUAUUGAAGGGGGCCUUCUCGGACUGAAAUUAAAAUAAUUUGGCAGUUUUCAGUCGUUCCCCCCUCUGGUGGAGAUCUGUUUCUCUUCAGUAUUUCUUCUCUAUUUUUCACAUCAGUGUUGCAUGAAGUCUUUUUUCUCCUCAGUGAUAUUUAGCUGCUGUUUGAGCAGAUUCCACGAAAAGAAUAAUCUCUGGAAUGCAUUUUUUUUUCACCAGAGAGAGAAAAGAAAAGGAAUCUCAGAAAAUGAAAAUUGGUCAAACUCAGUGUCCCCUUUCUAGUUAUUGGAUUAAUGAUUUUUUGAUUCUAUUAUAUCAACUGUGAGUGAGAGACAAAGAGGGAUGAAUUGAUGGAGAGAGAGAGAGAGAGAGAGAGAGAGAGUGCUUAUGGAGGCAGAGAUAUGCUGCUGUUGUUAAUUUUAAAAUUUCUGGUUAAGGCAGCAAAUGUGGUCAAGAUACUUAAUUGUGCUGUUAUGGAGGGAAAAACUGCAUAAUGUUAAAAAACAUCUAGAUAGAUUCAGAAGGAAAUUAAAAAUGGAAAGAGCCCAGAAACCUCCCACAAUUCCAGGUUUCCAUUCUUUAAAGGAAACGGCAAGAUCACUCAAUAAAUAAAUAAUUAAUCAACCAACCAUAAUUUUACGAAGCUACGAGAAUACUUUUUGUGCACAAAAGAACAAUACAUAACAACUUUAUUUAACAAUUUGUCUCCUCCUUGUCACCUUAGUGCCAUUUUGGAGAGUGUUCACUGAACGCAAACAGUGUAUGUUGUUCUGUGUCAGCCGGAAUCACACGGAUAGGUUGUAUUACGUCCAAAUCAAAGCAUAAACAACUUAGAAAAUGUAGCUGCAUAGCGCAAUUGACACAGAAAAGCACACGCUGUAUGCGUUCAGUGGAUACACUCCAAAAUGUUGCUAGGGUUACACGGAGGAGAAAGAUUGUUGAAUAACGUUAUUUAUUUUUCUUUUGCGCACAAAAAGUAUUCUGGUAGCUUCAUAAAAUUAUAGUUAACCCCUUAUAUCACAAUUAUUUGACUGAUUUCCUUGCUACCUUUCUGAACGUUGAUAGUAUCAGAACCCUUGCUGUCUAUGGGAGGGUCAGAGAGCUGUUAGAUUUAAUCAAAAAAUCUUAAUUUGUGUUCUGAAAAUGAACGGAGGUUUUAGGGGCUUGGAACUACACGAGGGUGAGUAAUUAAUGACAGAAUUUUUCAUUUUUGGGUGAACUUAACCUUAAAACUUUGUGCUUACCCUGAAAUUGCUCUAAUUUAAAUCCAUUUUUAAAAUCUGGUCUGCCUGUUCAUUGUGGAUUUAUGUAAUAACCAUCAGUGCAGCACCAAAGCGCUAGAUUUUAUAUUAUACUUGACAAAUCGCAUGAUAAUAUAUUAAAUGGCAUGGCUUCAAAUGUAAUUAAUUUGUGUGAAUGCACAGUUUAUUUAAAAUAACAUUUAUCUUAAUUAUAAAUGUUUUGUCAUGAAGUAAAUCUAUUAAUUAAAACCAUAUUAAGUCAAUAGAGUAAUAGUACUCUCACAACCUUUUUGUUCAGACAGUGAAAUUAAUUAGCAGUUUUAGAAACUCCAAAUGUCUUUUCUGGUUCACUGAGCCGAUCAGCC